CCUACGGGAGGCAGCAGUGAGGAAUAUUGGUCAAUGGUCGGGAGACUGAACCAGCGAAGCCGCGUGAGGGAUGAAGGUACAGAGUAUCGUAAACCUCUUUUGUCAGGGAACAAAGGCGGGGACGCGUCCCCGGAUGAGUGUACCUGAAGAAAAAGCAUCGGCUAACUCCGUGCCAGCAGCCGCGGUAAUACGGAGGAUGCGAGCGUUAUCCGGAUUUAUUGGGUUUAGCGGGGGCGCAGGGGGUCUGUUAAGUCAGCGUUCAAGGCCCGGGGCCCAACCCCGGACCGCCGUUGAAACUGGCAGGCUCGAGUUGGAGAGAGGUAUGCGGAAUGCGCGGUGUAGCGGUGAAAUGCAUAGAUAUCGCGCAGAACUCCGAUUGCGAAGGCAGCAUGCCGGCUCCAAACUGACGCUGAGGCACGAAAGCGUGGGUAUCGAACAGGAUUAGAUACCCCUGUAGUC
RNAcentral lists this ribosomal RNA (459 nucleotides) under uncultured bacterium. RNAcentral describes it as "partial 16S ribosomal RNA". It matches the Rfam family "Bacterial small subunit ribosomal RNA", at positions 338 to 795 of the family's 1533-position model. The record is from RNAcentral.